UGUUGUUCUCGCACGCGCGCGCGCACGUACGCAUGUAACCGCCAAUUGCAAUAUUUGAAAAAAGAACCCGAUCAACCACUGUUUUGCUGUUCAGAAGUCCGUCUAUAAUUCAUCAUAAACUAAAGGAACACAGGUCAGAUUCGGACAACGACUUCAAAUUCAUUCGCAGAAUACGCUAAACAAUUGGACGACGGAUACACUGGAUGAUAAUAUAGAUGGUCCAGGAUUAUCUGGGAAGGAAACUACAGGUGUUGAACACAGAAAACCGUUUACAAGAAAACAACUGGAGUUUGUGAAAGCUGCAAGAAAUUAAUCUUGCCGGGUACGCAUUCACUUCACCUUGGUCGAGUGCAGCACAGUGGAUAAAUGUGUUGCUGAAGGAAAACACCAUUGCUAGGAUUCAAACCCACGACACUCUGUUGAAAGGUGAGAGUCAGAACCACUAGACCACGACGCACCCACAGUUAACAAGCUGAUGUCAUACUCCCACUUGUUCUUUUGUAUUUUAUAACAAGAAGUCAUGUUUAUUCAUAUUUUGACCUCCAAGAACUAAAAAGUGGAGUGAAGAUUUAUUUAAUGUAAACACAUGCAUUGCUUGAAAUCAUUUUAUGCUACGUGGGACAUAUCAUACACACGUGUACGAAAAUAUGAAAUUAUUAUGAUUUCAUUUUAUAACAUAAGCCUAACACAUAUUCCUGACGAUCAUGUGCACAUUCCAGUAAUUUUUCCCAAAAUGUUGCUAAACCUUCAAAUCAAAGACUUUGUUAUCAGAUUUUAACGAAAUUGUCAACAUUAUGCUUUUCUGAUUAAUUCUCUUCCUACCUAAAUCUUCCCUUUCCUCAUGCUUUCUUUCUAUGGACCCUUCAUUCUCCUUAUAACUAUGUUAUAUGUAAAAUGUAACCGGUCGUCCAACCCAUUUGAUUGAAGGGCUAGGUACUCUAGACUGAAAGUUAUGUGAUUUAAAUUCAAAGAGUACAUCAGACAAAAAAAAACACUGAAAAUUUCAUCAAAAUUGAAUGAGGAUUAACAAAAUUAUGACGAAUUAAAGUUGUUAUUUUUUUAUAAAACUGUUCUCUGCAAGUCCUCAUGAAUAUACAAGAUCCCAAUUUAUAUAUUUUUUUGUAUUAUAUGAAUUCAAAUUUUGUCCAAGCUAGGUUGUAAAAAAUUACGAUUGACUACUGAUAUACUGUGUAAGACAAAAAUUAUAUUAUUUCUCACACAUAGUUGAGUUAUUCAUCUGAUUCAACACAACAAAAAUAGACAAAAAAUAAAUAAGUGGGAAUCUUGUAUAUUUGAACAAUGGGAAAUAGUUAAAAAAUAGAUGUGCUACUAAGAAUUAUUUUCUAUAUGAUUUGCAAAAUAUUAAAAAAAGAUGUCGCUAUUUUUCUUGUUUUUUUUCUAUUUUCAUGAUAUAUUCUUUAUUAUUCUAUUAUUCUAUAUAUUCUAUUUUUGAUAUAGAUAUUAUUUAUUCCUUUAAGUAUCUUUAAUGUAUUUAUGAUAAACUUUUGGCAUGUUUCUACAGAAAAUCAUUAAAAAAGGAUUUAUCUUUUCCGGACUCGAAAAACCUUAUCGCCCUUAAACCAACCUGCUUCUACAAACCAAAUAAUCUGAUUAACUCGCUUUUCGCGUUGCAAAUACGGCGGAAAUCGGAAAAUUCAACCUAUAACCUCACGUUGCAUUGUACAUAUGUCCAAAAUUGCAUCUUCUUAGGAAAAUAUUCCAAAUUUGUGGUAGAUCUCACUCAAUGUAGCAGGUAUACGUGUUGCACGAUCAGCUGGUGAGAUCGAAAAGGCCAGAAUGUGCAAAUUUAUGUACUGCGAAAUUGCACUUUUGGGAUUAAGCACUUCCGCCAGACACGAUACGCUAUUUUGCCGUGUGUUUUUACAGAAAAGUUAAACGGAUUAACAUGGCAAUAACCACCUCUCAGAGAUGGUUAUGAGAAACCAUAUUUUGCUUGAAGCAGUUUAUCAAUAAACCGCAUCGCGUCUGUUUCUACAAAAUUCUACAGGAAAGUUUUCCGGGAUUCUGGAUACUUACGCGGGUAAUACCUUUUAACGAUUCUAUGUAGAAACACGCCAUUUGAUAUAUCUUUUAGGUGAAAAGAAAAUAGAGAAAUAUUAGGAGGUUCUAUUUUUAUGGGGGUACUAUUUUCCCCCCUUUUGGGGAUAUUUAUUUCCUCUAAGUUUGGUACUCUUUACCUUUAAUCAUUUGGCCAUGUGAAGGCUAUCACACAUUUUGAGUUUAAUCUUCGAAAUUUGGUGUUCAUCAGUUUGUUGUCCAAACUCUGUCUUACAUUUAGAUUUGUUUAUAGGAAGAUUAACAUAAUAUCUAUGUGGAGUGCAAUCAUUGACCUCUUGUAGAGUCGUGCAGUCACAUGUAUUCAUAAUGCUGGUGCUUUUAUGCCAUACAUGUACUUGUCAAUACUGGGUUCCACUCUUUUGUACUUGAACUUAUUAGUAAAAAAAAUAUUUUAUUAAUGUCAUUGAAGUAGCUGUGUGAAAGCAAUUACACACAACAGAUUUAAAAUCAAGGUUAUUGUAUUACAAGUAUCAGGUUUGUUUGCAGAACAGUGGUUUUGCCAAGUACUCAAUCCACGUAAAAAGCCAUCAGAGAGAACAUGUUUAUUCUUGGAAAUGUUAUUCAUAUGUUGUGUUUUUCAAUUAAACUCUGUCUUGAUACAUGUUUAUUUUAGAUACCAAGAUUGACAGAGUAUAGAUGUCAACGAGGAGCAAAGUCAUAUAUAUUCAUAACUUAUGUGCUUUAAUUAUAAAGUCUAUACUUGUGAAUGCUGUGUUCCAUUUAUGCUGUACUUAAACUUCUUAUAGUAAAAACAUUUGACGUUCUUGAA
This is a long non-coding RNA of Lytechinus pictus (painted urchin), 2848 nucleotides long. RefSeq lists it as uncharacterized. The transcript has 3 exons. NCBI's taxonomy places the organism in Eukaryota, Metazoa, Echinodermata, Echinoidea, Temnopleuroida, Toxopneustidae. The record is from RefSeq and is a predicted model, not a curated record.